This 7627-nucleotide long non-coding RNA is filed under the name Eucalyptus grandis. RNAcentral describes it as "long non-coding RNA (EGRA_LNC003834)". The record is from RNAcentral. Lineage: Eukaryota; Viridiplantae; Streptophyta; Magnoliopsida; Myrtales; Myrtaceae.
AAGAUAGUCUUUCAUAUUAUUUACAAAGGAUGUUCAGUCAAUCAUUAAGAAAGGAAUGUACGAUUAGCCUGCCAAAGUUGCAUGCUCAUAAGUCGAGAGUCAAAGACCUACUCAGUCUUGACCCAUUUUGGCAUUUAUAUGCUGCCUCUAAAGUUUCCUAACAUCGCUUAAUAUUUAUACCUAGUCAUUCAAUUGGUCAAAGAGUAUCAACAAUCACCUUCUUAUGAUUGGUUGGAGUCGAGUUAACAUCAUUAAUGCUUACUUAUACUAUUUAGGAAUGCAAAUGAAAGAGUUCAUGAUUCAAACGAUCUUGCAAAAUUCCUAUCCGAGCCAAAUAGGGCUGUGUGACAACAAAAUGUAAAUUACAAACUAAGCCUUCUAUUAGAAUAUCUAAAAAAUAAACUACGUCUUCAUUUAACAACUUAAACUUUUAGAAUAGUUAACAGUGAUCCCACAAAUUCUCACAUGGUAUCAAAGCCCAAGUUACCAACUAGUUUGGACCUAAUAGCCACACGAGUAAGAGUUACCGGUUGUUCCUGCUCCGACCCACGCUCGAUGUGUGAAGGGAGAUUGUUGAGGUUGGAAGGGGUUGGUGGUCGGUAUGUAAAUGUGAGAGAAAGCCUUACCCUUUAAGCUCACUUUUGGGAUAAGACGACCUCCAACAUGAUAUCAGAGCUAGAACUCUAGAGUUCGAAACUUUCCAAACCCCCUUAAUACUAGCUAAAAAGACCAGAAUAAGUGUGAAGUGGAGUAUUAGAAUAUUUAAUUAAUAAACUACACUUUAAUCUAACAGCUUAAAUUUUUAGAACAGUUAAUAGUGGUCCCACAAAAUCUCAUACCUUCAAAUGGAGUCAAGCGGUCCAUUUUAAUCGUAGGAAAUAUGGAUCCAUCUCCUAGAAUUAUGAUGCUAAUGAUGAAUAGGUUGCAUUCUGGUUGAUGUGUACAUAUAAGUCCCCAUAAAAUGAGUAAAUAUGCUUUGCCAUCCCUAACAAAAUACUUGUAGACAUCUGUCAAUUACAUCAGUUUCUUUGGUUCCUAAUUCUUUAGAUACCAUGCAGGGAAAAAUCCCCCAUUAGUCAAGUCUGUUAUAGCCAAAAAGAAUCAACAGGCAUCUUAACUAUGUCCUUUCGUUCAUGCUUUUCAUAAUGAGAUCAUAUUGACUACAUAUCACAACUCACUAAUUGAAUAGAGGUCUUCUCUUGCGUGUUGGCAUUCCAAGUUCAUCAAUUAUGAGCCAGAAUUCCCAUCCUCAUCUCUCGAGAAAAUGUAGUACUGUCCACCUAUCACAUAUUUCACACACCUCAAUAUGGUAAUCACCCAGAUGCAGGAAAUAGGAUAUGCAUAACUUAAAUCACCAAUCAAAUUCAAAAAACUUACCCCUUUUAUUGUUUUUCCCCAAAAAAGUGAGGUCUUCACUCAAUUCGAACAAACCAUAAGGAAAUGUUCCCAAAUCUCCUCUUCCCAUGGACAGCCUGCCUGCCUUUAAUUGGACUCUAGCAGUAAUUUACUCCAUUUUGCAAAACCAGUCCAUAGAUGCCUACUAAACACCAAGAAAAAAACAUUUUUUGGUAAGUGAAAAAAGUGGGGAGGGAUGACCAAUGUUGACUAUACCUUAGGCCUUACCAUAGGAGUUUCAUACCCACCAUAGAAUAUUUGAUUAGGACCAUAACAAAUCAGUACCACCCGAGACCUUAACGUCAGAGAUUGGCAUAGCCCAUUCAGAAAAGCCCAACCAGCGUGUUUGCUGUUCAUAACUCUCUCCACAUAAGGUAACAGCACCCAAAAUCCGACAAAUCCUCUUAGAACAUUGAACACUCUUUAGUACUAACUGCAAGUAAUGCUAAAAUUCAUAGACGUUGCAUACACUCCGGGUUUUAAGAGAGUAGGCUAUUAAUGACAUUGGACCAAACCAUUCCACAUGACGCGUGCAUGUUGUGCAAAUGCGUCACAACAGUGCAACAUGCAUGGCCAUCUGUGGCCACACAAAAGCCAAACAGACUAUUAUCCCGGCUUUGCUGCCUUUUUUGUUUCUCAAUCCUUUCAUUUCCUUCCAAACAUUGCAAGUUUCAGAGAGAUCUAUGGCUAUCACUCAGAGAUAAAUCUCAUAUUAAUUGAGGGGUACAAGAAUCUCAAGGUUUGAAAUGGAACUCAAAGCUAUAUUUAAAGUCUCUUCUAUUUGAUUUUCAUAUUUGAAGAAAAAUGUCAUUUUCAUCACAGAAAUAAAAAUUCCUAAAACGGGUCUAGUUCUUCACAGUAUUUGUGAGAUUCUUUUGCAGGAUUCAAGUUUCAGACCUCUAGCUCAUUCAUCCUAGAAAUCCCAGGUAAAUCUGAUCAAAUUCACGAUUAUAUGCAUGCAUCCUCCUUAAAAGAUAAAAGUAUAUUUUAUGGUCUUGUUUGUAAUUAUUUUCUGCUCAUGCAACUCACCUAGUUGAAAAAUCUAGCUACGAAGUCAUGUGAUUGUUCAACAAGUAUCUUUGCACUAAUUCCCUCUAUCCCAACAAAGCAGCCAAUUUUCAGAAGUAGGGUUAUGCCAUGGUUCGAAUUGAUUUAGUUUGGUUCUUCUUUAGCAGUAAUUUUCAGACCAAACUGAAAAAUCCUCCUAAAACAUAAAUGAUCAAAAUUAAAUCCACGAUUUGGCAUGUACGUAAUAAAGACAUCAAGACAUCGUUUGGGCCUUAUAAUUCUUUUAAACAAGACCUCUGCAUUCUUCGGGACCCAUUUGUAAAAAAGGUCUCCAGGUCCAAAUGUAAUCAAAGUGUGGCCACUUAGACGUAGCUAGCAAAAAAUUUUAUGAGAUGCCAACCAAGAAUGUUAUCUGUUGGACAAGCACAAUUUCUGGGUACAUGAACUGCGGUCAGCUUGAUGAAGCCAGAGGGUUAUUCAAUACAAGUCCAGCCAAGGAUAUUGUCCUGUGGAUGGCUAUGGCCACCACAAUAGUUUUAAUUCUUAUAAGGAAUAGAACACUUUUAGCUUAAAAGUAAAGCAAGUGUAUAAGACUACAAAUUGACAAUGUGAAAGUAGUUUCUAUACAAUAGCAAUUCCUAAAAUUUUCUCGUAAACAGAAGAAAUGUUUGAGAAAAGAUAAUCUCAUUGGUUUUGGUGGGCAAACCUGAACUCAACAGAAAAUUCAAGUUGAACCCUUUUCAUCCCAAACCAAAGAAAAGUUAAUUAAUUGAGUUCAUUCUUUUCUUCUUCUUCUUUUUAAGUAUCUUUAAUUCUUUCUUUUCUGCACGCCCAGCUUAACAUGUUUAGUACAUCGAGCAAACCUCUUAAGUGUUUUAGAACAUCUGUUAUCCUUCCAUGGGCAAUUUGAUUGAGAUGGCUGCCAUUCUGCAAACACGUAGAUCUCAUACUACAACCUCAUAUAUUGGAACACAGAACUAGGGUCCAGUCAGUGGCCAAUCCAGAAACUAACAAACUAACUCUAAUAGUAUCAUAUAAGAGAGGCUAAUAAACAUAUAUAUGCUGAUUAUUAUUACAGUCCUGACUCAUGAAAAUUGUAAUCAAACAUUAGAUAUAUGACUAUUAAACUCUAUUCCAAAUAUAUAACCUUUAAAAUUCACAGAAAUGUGAAAAGACAAAGGCCAACUAAUGUCUAGGCAGCAGAGGAAUGCUCUAUUAGGAGCUGAUAUGUUCCUUCCUAAUUUGGGAAAAAAGCAAGAAAAGCUCUUCACAGCCUUCAAGAAACCUAUAAGCUUGAAAAGAUUUCACUAGUUACUUUAACGUCUUCCAGAUCUGACAUCCAAGAGUAGUUUUGUUUGGUGUGGUUUACAGCAACAGCAGCUAAUUAUGGACAGAAGUAUCAGCAGACAAAGAACAAGAGCUCAUACAUCUGAAGCCACCGACUACAUAAGCCGACUACCAGAUGUAAUUCUAGUCUAUAUACUUUCAUUCCUCCCUCUGAAAGACUGCAUCAAAAUAAGUGCCCUAUCCAAAAGAUGGAAGUACCUUUGGACAAAGACUUCUCGACUAAAUAUAAACGAAAUAGAGAUCAUUGCUAAGCUAGUGAGAAGCAAUUUCUACUGCACCAUCUGUGAGGACAUUUGGACUUCUUCUACUACUUGUUGCCAGAAGCAUUUGCUUAAGGUAGCAAGGAGCAUGUUUGCAGAUGUUGUAGACCGAACUCUCCUACUACACUCAGGCUGCACCCUGGACAAAUUCCAAUUGUCUUUCCUUUAUGAUGUCUAUGAUGGAUUGACAGAAAAGGUUGAUAUCUGGGUUAGGUAUGCUUGGGCAUCCAACAUCAAAGAUAUGGAGUUGAGCUUCUUUAAUCCAGGUCUGUUGGAAUACUUCGAUGAGAGGGUACCUGUUCGCGUAGGUGUCGACCUUAAUUUACUAUAUGAACUGCCUCAUAACUGUUUGGUAUCAAAGAUUCUAAGCAGUUUGAACAUGAACUGCUGCAAGCUAAGAGCAUCUGCUUUAAAAGUUUUUCCUUCUCUUCGAAGGAUAUUCCUAAAGCAGGUUGUCAUCCUUGAUUCUUCAGUUAGAGUUCUGGCAUCAAAAUUUCCUCUUCUAGAAGAUCUGAGCCUGGAAAAUUGUGUCAUCUCCAUACAAUUUUUUGUAUGUGAUGAAGACUUGAUGAUUAAAAGACUUUAUGUGACCAACUGCAAGCCCAAUGAGAUCCCCACCUUCGAGAUUAACAUAUCAACUCCGCGCCUAGUACUACUGGUGUUACAUGGAGUCUAUGUCAAAUUGACUUCUAUGAGGAAAGUGACACAACUGGUUGACGUUACAAUCGACAUCAGAUGUUUGCUUGUCAGCAAAGAACAAGCAGGUCUUACUUCAUUGCUGAGUGGAUUACGCCACUCCCAGAAUCUGACAUUAACAUCAUGGUGCAUUCAGGUAGCUUUUCUCUAUUCCUCUUGCUUGCAAAUUUUGAGCCAAAUACACUCAUUGUCACAUAUCAGUCUGUGGUCAUCAGGCUCUGCCUGCAGAUGAAAAUCUGACAGAUCAAGCGAGAUUCCGACUUCAAGAGGUGGUGCAACUAACUUUAGCGCUGUGCUUAGUAAAGCAUGAUCUUCCGAGGGUGGCCUGCCUCCUAAGGAGCUGUCCAAAUCUGAAAUAGCUGACUCUAACAUUGCAAGGAAAUGCUAGGGCAUAUAACAUGGUAUCAGAAAAAAGAAUCUUACAAGGAAAUAUUAUGAUAUUUUCUGCUCUAUCAGGAGCAUCUAACAUGUGAUCUUACUGUUUUCUUUAGGGUAAUUUCUUCCGUAAUGGUGGUCCAGACAUUUCAGACUGUGAUCCAGAGCACUACUUUCAAUCUGAAUGUUUGCCAUUCCCUUGUCUGGAAAACAGUCUCGAGAAAAUUACAGUUAAUGGGUUUGCUGGAAGAAAGAAUGAGAUGAACGUUGUCCGUUUUCUGCUGAGAAACGCAAGAGUCUUGGAGGAAAUUUCCAUCUUUUAUGAAGACGCAGAGGAGUAUUAUAGAGGAGCAAUGGGACUGUGGAGGCAAAAUGGGCAAUUCCAUCAAAUAUUUUGUGAGCUGCUAAGGUGUCAGAGGGUAUCGGCUCGAGCUGAGGUGAUAUUUUCAAGCCCCCCAAGCGAAUAUGUUAAUUAUGAAGGGUCCUACUAUCUGGUUCAGUAGUUAUGUCUAUGCUGUUCCUAAGUUCUCCCUUUCACAUCGUGCUGAGGAAGGCAUACGUUUUAUAUGGCAGAUCUCUUAUGUUUGGUACCAACUUGUUUGCAGUACUUAUAAAUAAAUACCGCUCAUGUGAUUAUGACGUCCAAUUGUGACAAAAUGACGUGUGGCCUUUUAUCCAUCUAUUCUUGUUAGCUCUAUUGAAUAUCCUCAGCUAUUAUCAGGAGUAAACCAAGCCUCUUGCAACCAAGGACCCAAUUCAUUUUGAGGUAGCUUGACUUCUGGCAAGUAUUUAACAUCCACCUUAGGCCAAACAAAAGAUAUGUACAUGCUACAUGCACACCUACUCAGUCAAGCAGUACAAAUCUUGUUUUAUUUUUACAGGGACGGAACACCUAGCAAACCAUCUAAUAAAAAAGCAUACAAAAAUCAACUUGACUGCCCCUGCAACAUAUUUUCAGCACCCCUGUGCCUUGUGUUUCUACAUUCUGAACACCGUUACAAUAGUUGAGAAUGAGUAGUUCUAGUCUAGAUGGAAUCCAUGAAGUGAAUAUGACAUGACAGAUUAAACAGAAUCCCAUAAAACCAUAUCACAUUUAGAGUCCCACAUAUAGCCAAUGCAAUUCAAACAUCAAAGACAUGAUUAACUAUAACAUUGCAAAUUCAAGAAUGCAGCACAUACCAACAACAUUAAGUGAGCAGGCUUCUUUGCCUUGGGUGCAAAAGAGUAAGAGGAUCCAGCCUCACGUGAUUGAUGAGAAAGCGCUCCUGGUUUCCAUAUCAACAGAAAGCAGGUGUAUUACAGAACAAGUAGCGAAAAUCCAGCCCAUGGUGGCGCCAGCGCCUCAAAUAGAGAUGUCCCAUCCAGUAGAGAGAUUGAAACUGGGCUCAGGUUGGAAUGAGAGAGAAAGCUAAGAACCCUGUAUAAAAAGCAAGAGAAUAGAAAAAAUGGAUGGAAAUUGUCAGGUUGGAUCUCAAAUUGGACCCAGUGUUAGAUCUUCUAUGGAACUAACCAUACAGGCAUCGAUUUGUAUUGUAAUCUUGGAAACGUUUACAGCGUGUUCUGUGUUUUGGCUAAGAGUUUGUGCAUAAGGAAUUUGACAUGUGAAGAAAACAACUCUCUCUCUCUCUCUCUCUCUCAAGCAAGUUUGAGAUUGAUUGACCAGAAAGAAUUACUGAAACGGGAGCUAUAUUACUCAAACGGAAAAUGAGCGCAACGAUGCACAAAUCAAUGGAAGAAAAAGUUGCGAAUUGAUGCAGAUAACCCCCAUAGCAACAUCCAGUUUAGCAUCGUAUAUUGUCAAUAUUCCUGGAAAUCUCGGCUAAAGUCUUGAACUUUUCGAGGUUAUUUUCACCCACAAACGGUGUGAACGCGGCAAAAACCAAACUUUAACCGACUUCGAUCCAUAAAAACGCACUGAAAAUAGAUUCGCGGAGAAAAACGCCAUCCGGGUACCUCUCGGGAGAAGUUUCGCAGUCUGGAGCGAAGUUUCUGAAAAGAAAGCGGAGGGGGCGACGAUGGCGAAAUGGCUUUUAGCUAUUGCCGGUGGGGGGGGACCGCUUCACGGUUUUGCAUUUUCUGGAACCCUGCUCCGCGACCGCAGAUCGUCCCGGGACGAUCCCUGCUUUUCUAGAUGACUCUCGUGGGAACACGAUUCUUUUGAGGCGUCCGAUGAUUCGAGCCAGCGGGGAAAUGGUAAGGGAAAUCGAAAGGCGAGAGGAAUGCGUCCCGCCAUGCUACGCGCGCUUUCUUUUUGCUUUGUCGCGGACCAUUUCUCUACUACCACCAACGCCAACACACUCAAAACCGAAUGUGAUCUUCUUUUCAUCGUGUUGUUGUCGUUGUCUGAUAAUUGCCACCACCUUCUCUUUUACUGCAGAUUUUUUUAUACAUAAAAAAGUGUACGAUCAACGAUAUUGAACAAUCAAUUGAUGCAUAUGAACAAAAAUCGGGUGUUGUACGGUCUUUUCUACUUUUGCGGGUACUGAUAAAUCUUAAAAAUUCAUAGAUUACCCACUCUUGGACCCUAUCGCCUCUCGGACAGCUGG